CAUUCUUUAUACCUAUUUUAUACUAUUCUUAUCGUCUUAACACAAACGUGCUACUGCUACGUGUACAAAAAGGCACACAUAACCAUAUGUGAUCUACUGAUCUUACAUAUAUCAUGUAGAACAAAUAGAAAAUAAAAGUGUACUAAAUAAAUAGAAAACCGUAUAACCUGUAGAACGCCGAAAGACUUACCACGGAACGAUCCUACUGGGUUUAAUACAAUCACAGCCAUGCAAAUCAACCACUACCAAAUCGCCCUCGCUGUUGACGUAGACAUUGAAUGCAUUGAAUGGGUAACCUACAACAAGCUUGAGCGAACUGUUGUGUCCAUUGCAGGCACUACACAGGACAAAUUGAGAAACCCUACAAGUCAGGUAACGAAUAUAACGACCAUGUCCUCCCACUCCGUCACAGUUUCGAUGAAUCGUAAGAUUCUAACACUUGGUCAUAUACCCAAACGUGUAGACUCACGACCACUAGAAGAAGCGCUUCUUCAAUUUACACUAUACCUCGUCUAAUUUUAACUGGUACUCGAGCAUGAUAAUUAACUACCGAGUUCCCUUCUCUGUCGCCGUAUAAGAAUCAACUUUAGUCAAACUACAAAAAGUCCUUACUUAAGGUGAGCAAUAAGUUAUGGUGAUACUCUUUUCAUCACUUUACGACCGGCAGACGUUUUACAUGACCAGGCAGAGCGCCAGAGUGGGGUUUUUGUCUCCUCUCCUCGUCCCUCGAGGAGGGAGUGUGAACAGCCGAGGUUCCUCGGGGCGGUGGUACGUACCUCUUCUCCUCGCGCCUCGAGGCGGCGGCGCAUUCCGUUUGGUUCCGACGUUGCAAACUUAUAAUAUGAGUCAGUCAACGAGCUGAUGAAUGUCAGGAUAAUGAACUCUGAAUUAUGAGCCAGUCGACGGCACAUGUAACAAGACUGUAUUUACGGUGGUACAGAUACGCGUUCAGUCUUCCUUGAAUGGUAGAUUUUUCUACAGAUUAAUCACACCAUGUACGAAGUCAUGACGUUCAACCUCAUCGUUACGGAUGGACGUGUAACUACGAGUAUGGACUGCCACUCUCUUCAACGUAGAACUCUAAGUUAAGAAACUAAAUACUACGGGUCGGUAUACGUGUUACUCUUGUAUAUAGGAAAAAGAUUAGAGACAAAAAGAUUCAACUUUGAUAAAGAAACAAUGAACCAAACUCCUGCCGUUUUCUGACCGGAAAACGGCCUGUCUCUUUUCUGGCCGAAUAAAAUAAAAUUGUGUUGUAUCGUUCGAGGUAUAUAAAGUCAAUCAUGUACCGUCCUACGUCUGAUACACGUCAUAAUCACCACAAAUCUGAGGUUUUACCGUCAUAAUCACCACAAAAUUUCUCUUUCUAAGCAUUUACUACAACAAAAGAUGAUUCUUUUAAGUCAUCAGCCACAGUGGUAACUCACGGUUACACUACCCGUAAAUUCUAAAUCUAAGUCUUGAGGUCCCAAGUUGUGUCUACCGAAGUGAAGUUAUAAAAAGGGGUACACCAACUACCUACGAAGUGAAUUCAAAACUACGUAGCACAUAUGACUUAGGAUGUAAUACAACUCUUUAAAUCUAUAUAUUUUCAUAGACAUUCGGCUGGUGUAUGGUGUGUAAAAUUUCCAAAUAAAAGAGAUGUAGACAUGAUCGAAACUUGGUUCAUAAAGAUGAAAGAAAAAUAAACAACGGUUUUUAAUUCCUUACAACUAGACUACAUAAAAAUGUUGUUAGUCGCACAACUGCACCUCGAACAGGUAAGCGCUGUAUGGAACAAAUACACCCUCCCGACCUACUAACUUUCAGCCUGCAUGGUAAUUGCUGCCAACACUCGUACCUAACCCCUCUGCUUCUAAUACCCUCGUGUUCUUUCUUUUCUUCUUCUUUUGUGCAACGCCUCGCACCGCCGGAGGGUCAAGAACCGGAGACAGCCCACCGAUCUGGUGCGGUGUAUCUUCUGCUCCCAAUAGAGUCAAUCCCCGGAGCCGUUGCUGCUGCUCUUACCGGUCCAGCUUUAGUGUCCACGCACUGCCGACCUCUGCCGGCGUCCCAGGUCUCUACCCCGCGUGCCGCCUACACAAGAUGAAGGGUAACUCUCUUAAGACCACCCAAAGAGAUUAUCAUACGGUUUGAUUGAUUGUUAACAUCAAUUGAUAUGACGUCGCCGCGUGAAGAAUAAAACCCUAAUUCGGAUUACGAACGAGAUGGUUAGUUCAUCAUGACAACACUUGAGUAUCCAUUGUGGUAAGAGAUAGGUUAUGUCACGUAUCGAAAUGCAUCUAACCGUACCGACUAGAAGAGAAGGUAAUAAUAACGAUGAAAUACAAAAUUAAGGUAACAAGAAGUGAACUAGAAGCCUAGGUACAAGGUCACUGAAGGACUUGAAAAUAACAACUACCCUUCAAAGAUAAAAUUAAAAAGAAAGUGAAAUAGAAGUCCAAAUGUCCCAAUACCUAGGUACAAACUCAAAUAUCUUCACACAAAUGAAUAGAUCGAAAGACAAGAGUAAGACAAACUUUAGGUAGCUGUAAAAGGUUUUAAGGGAAUAGUUACGUGCUCAAAGGAAAGAAUUAAUUGUACACUUCAAGGAACAAGUUGUUACUAAAAAUCCGGUUUAGUCUCCUACGUCCAACAUGGUAACUUCUCUCUUUUAAUACUCUUUUGAUGUUAUAUACUCUCCGAACCAACUAUGGAAGUCUUUUCGAUGUAGGGUUAUUACAACACCCAAUGUGGAAGACCGAACUUUUAGUCGAAGUAUUGUUCUUUCAACGUUGUGAUAUAACCACCUAUUAACGUAAUUUAUUUAUGACAUUACCACGUAAACAAAAAUCUAAAGAUAAUUGGACCAUGGUUUUUCAACCUCUCGUUCCUGGAAUAUAGUCACCACAAAUAUGAGGUUUUAACGUCAUAGCCACCACAAAUAUGAGGUUUUAACGUCAUAGUCACCACAAAUCUAAGGUUUUGGAUAGAUCUCAUUAGACAGUAAACAAGAAGUUUCUCUAACGCAUAUACAAUGGGGUACAGUCCAAGUCAUGGAGACCCAAGUUCUAGAUAUCGAUGUUCAUAAAAACUGAUCUAACACCAGUAUAUACACGAUUAAGUACGACUAUGCGUACGAGAAACUUGAAAACUUUCCUUACCUACUUUAGUAGUAGUCUCGAAGACGUUUACCCUAGAGAGGACAUUCGGGACGAUAUCAAUGAAGUGACCAAACUUGAAACUCAUUGAACUAUAUACACAGAG
Molecule: ribosomal RNA, 3246 nt
Filed under: Triticum aestivum (bread wheat)
Lineage: Eukaryota; Viridiplantae; Streptophyta; Magnoliopsida; Poales; Poaceae
Description: partial small subunit ribosomal RNA
Source: RNAcentral